Molecule: long non-coding RNA, 1383 nt
Filed under: Homo sapiens (human)
Lineage: Eukaryota; Metazoa; Chordata; Mammalia; Primates; Hominidae
Description: HSALNT0072748
Source: RNAcentral
UGGAAGUCAAGGGGCACUGCACAGGACUCCAGGGUAGAUAAGACUCCAUAUCUCGGGACAAGGGAACCCAGAAGCCUGACAUGCUGGAAAAGGACACGAUUGGAGAAACUGGUUGUUUUUACCAAGGCUUUAACUGGAAGGGUAUGCUUCCCUUUAAGGAAUCAAGGUUGACUUGCAGAGCCAAUAAAAGCCCCUUGGGAAUAUUCACCUCAUAUCUUGUCUACACAGUCUCCUUAUAGGUUUCCUAACCUGUGUUUCCAGCUUAUUCUCAUUCUUCUUGGAUGUGGUACAAGAGUUCAGGAACUACUGUACAUGGAUUCAAGCUACAACACAGAGUCAAGAAACUUAUUAUAUUUGAGCUAUUAAUAGUUACAGCAAUUUGGACAAAGUAUGCUCUUGUGAGCAAAACUGAAAUAUUUACCUUUCUCUCUCUACCUGAAUUCUCCAGAAUGCAGAAACUAUCAGGGAUUAUCUUUAUUUUAUGGCAAUAUAGUUAUCUGUAUAAGUUCAAUAAGAAUAUGUUUUCUUUUCUAAUAGAACACAAUUGAAAAUGCUGGUUAUUUUACCAAGGCUUUGACCUGAAUGACAUAUUUUCAGAUAUGAACAAAUUGCUUUGAGAAAUUGAAUUUGACUUACAGAGCUGAUAAAAGUUUCCUUUAAAAGACUGGCCUGGCACCUUGUCUACAUGGUUUCCUUACAAGAUUCCUGACCUUGUGGUGUGUAAAGAAUGUCACUUGUUAACACUCCCAAGAUCUGCAAGAUAUUUUAGAAACUUAAGAUUUUUUUGUGACCUCGAGAUAAAUGGAAUUCACCCAGUUUGAAUAGGUAUCACAGGCACAAUCUAGUGGCAAAAAUUUCUCUUGGAUUUUUGGCCUUGAGGGGCUUUUAAAAGUCUAAUCUGGUAUUUCUUAUGAAAAAGUUCUAGAAAAGCCGGUUGAAAACAGUCUAUAUGUUCAAUUACUAUUUUUGAUGUACUUUAUUAAAAAAAAUCAGACCAAGUAUAAUAAAACUAAAGCUUAUUUCAAAAAUAAAUUGGUAUUAAUAUGUGGUGAAAAAAUGGGACUGGAGGGAGAAAUAUUAUGUUUUGGAAAAAAAAAACAACUAAAUUACACCUAUUAUUAGAUUAUAGUCCUAAUCAUUGUUUUUGAGUUGUAUUCUUUGCCUAUAAUUUGGGCUGAAUUCUUUCCUGGGUACAAAUGUCCAAACUAAUGUGUUCAAAAUUUCCUCCCAGUUUUCUCACAUGAAAUCACUAGAAAUUAAAACUUUGAUUUUUCUGAAGCCCUGCAAACUAAAGCUAGACAACUUAAUAUAAACUUAGCAGAGAUCACUAUAACAGCUUAUAUAUAAACAGCCUUCAUGCCUGUUGAUGUGUGAACUACUCAA